This 232-nucleotide ribosomal RNA is filed under the name Pseudomonas protegens. Its description in RNAcentral is "partial 16S ribosomal RNA". It matches the Rfam family "Bacterial small subunit ribosomal RNA", at positions 1 to 230 of the family's 1533-position model. Lineage: Bacteria; Pseudomonadati; Pseudomonadota; Gammaproteobacteria; Pseudomonadales; Pseudomonadaceae. The record is from RNAcentral.
UCUACGGAGAGUUUGAUCCUGGCUCAGGACGAACGCUGGCGGCGUGCUUAACACAUGCAAGUCGAACGGGAUCUGACCAGCUUGCUGGUUGGUGAGAGUGGCGAACGGGUGAGUAACACGUGACCAACCUGCCUCUUACAUUGGGACAACCAAAAGAAAUUCUGGCUAAUACCAAAUACUCCGCACAUAUCACAUGAUGUAUGUGGGAAAGCUUUUGCGGUAAGAGAUGGGG